RNAcentral lists this ribosomal RNA (574 nucleotides) under uncultured bacterium. Its description in RNAcentral is "bacterial SSU rRNA". It matches the Rfam family "Bacterial small subunit ribosomal RNA", at positions 21 to 567 of the family's 1533-position model. The record is from RNAcentral.
UAAUGAGGAUCUGAAUCGCUCCGUCUCCUUAGCUUAACACAUGCAAGUCGAACGGGUCUGCCUUGUUUUUUCGCGGGGUGGGUCAGUGGCGAACGGGUGAGUAACACGUGAGUAACCUGCCCCUCACUUCUGGAUAACCGCUUGAAAGGGUGUCUAAUACGUGGUGUUCUGGCUGUGCCGCAUGGUGUGGCUGGGAAAGAUUCACUUUUGUGGUGUUUUGGUGGGGGAUGGGCUCGCGGCCUAUCAGCUUGUUGGCGGGGUGAUGGCCUGCCAAGGCUUUGACGGGUAUCCGGCCUGAGAGGGUGGGCGGUCACACUGGGACUGAUAUACGGCCCAUACUCCUGCGGGAGGCAGCAGUGGGGGGUAUUGCACAAUGGGCGGAAGCCUGAUGCAGCGACGUCGCGUGAGGGAUGGAGGCCUUCGGGUUGUGAACCUCUUUCGCCGGUGAAGAAGGCCCUGUUCCUUGUGGUGGGGCUGACGGUAGCCGUGUUAUGAAGCGCCGGCUAACUACGUGCCAGCAGCCGCGGUAAUACGUAGGGCGCGAGCGUUGUCCGGAAUUAUUGGUCGUAAAGGG